AGAGUUUGAUCCUGGCUCAGAAUCAACGCUGGCGGCGUGCCUAACACAUGCAAGUCGAACGCGAAAGGGAGCAAUCCUGAGUAGAGUGGCGUCCGGGUGAGUAACACGUGAAUAAUCUACCUGCGGGUGGGGAAUAACUUUCCGAAAGGAAGGCUAAUACCGCAUAAAAUCUAGCUGGGAUAGCCUAGUUAGAUCAAAGAGGGGGAUCGCAAGACCUCUCGCCUGUAGAGGAGUUCGCGGCUGAUUAGCUAGUUGGCGGGGUAAAGGCCCACCAAGGCGACGAUCAGUAGCCGGCCUGAGAGGGCGGUCGGCCACACUGGCACUGAAAUACGGGCCAGACUCCUACGGGAGGCAGCAGUGGGGAAUUUUGGGCAAUGGCCGAAAGGCUGACCCAGCAACGCCGCGUGAAGGAUGAAAUUUUUCGGAAUGUAAACUUCGUAAAUUAGGAAAGAAUAAGUUUGUACUAAUACUGCAAGCGAUGACGGUACCUAAUGUAAGCCCCGGCUAACUCCGUGCCAGCAGCCGCGGUAAUACGGGGGGGGCAAGCGUUGUUCGGAAUUAUUGGGCGUAAAGGGCGCGUAGGCGGUCAGACUAAGUCGAAUGUAAAAUACCAAGGCUUAACCUAGGCAGGUCGUUCGAUACUAGUCGACUAGAGUGUGGAAGGGGUUACUGGAAUUCCUGGUGUAGCGGUGAAAUGCGUAGAUAUCAGGAGGAACACCGGAGGCGAAGGCGGGUAACUGGGCCAACACUGACGCUGAGGCGCGAAAGCUAGGGGAGCAAACAGGAUUAGAUACCCUGGUAGUCC
Molecule: ribosomal RNA, 805 nt
Filed under: uncultured bacterium
Lineage: Bacteria
Description: bacterial SSU rRNA
Rfam family: Bacterial small subunit ribosomal RNA
Source: RNAcentral